RNAcentral lists this unclassified non-coding RNA (430 nucleotides) under uncultured fungus. RNAcentral's name for it is "sequence contains ITS1". The stretch from base 1 to 105 matches the Rfam family "5.8S ribosomal RNA", at positions 50 to 154 of the family's 154-position model. The record is from RNAcentral. Lineage: Eukaryota; Fungi.
GAAAUGCGAUAAGUAAUGUGAAUUGCAGAUUUCAGUGAAUCAUCGAAUCUUUGAACGCAAGUGGCGCUCCGUGGCAUGCCGCGGAGAAUGCCUGUUCGAGCAUCGUCAUACCAUCAACAUCUCACAAAAACCUUUGCUGUGUUUCUGUGCGAUCGUUGGCCGAUGUCCGUUGGAGCCACUCGCUGGCACCAUCGGUGAUCAAAGACAUUCCCUGGUGCUCCGCGUGCCUUUCACUGCGCUUCUCGAUUCUGUGGUAGGUGUCUUGCACACAUGCUUCGGUAUCGGUUGCGCGCCAAGGUGGAAGGGUGGCGGAGGUCUCACCGCUGGGUCUCACACAGCGUCGCGCUGCGGCUCUCUGGGCUGCGGUUUGCGACGAAUUGCCAAAUACACACUCGAUCUCGAAUCAGGUAAGGCUACCCGCUGAAUUUAA